AGGCAGAGACAGAGGCAGAGAGAGGGAAGAGAAGCAGCCUCCAUGCAGGGAGUCCAAUGUGGGACUCAAUCCCGGGAAUUCGGGAUCUCACCCUGAGCCAAAGGCAGACGCUCAACUGCUGAGCCACCCAGGCAUCCCUAUUUGAAACAUCUUAACUGUAUUAAUAAAAUUAAUAUUCUUUCUCCAUGAGGCUCCUGGAAUAUAUACGAACAAACUGCAGCAUGGUGAGGCUAAGUACUGUAUUGUAUUGUAUGGAUGUAGAUUUCUGUGACUUGUCUGCAUAAACUACCACCCCGACCUGCAGGGACAUAGACAGGCUAAAGAAUGUCGAUUGUGAGACUUGGGCUGCCUAAGUGACCUUGGGAUUCUGAUUAGUGGACAUUAGCUGGAUUUCAGGUCAGAAUUGGCCUUUCUGGUCUCGAUGCCAGGGCUGUAACUUUUGCCUUAUAUCCAUCCCCCUCCAGCUCCAGGAUGGGCUGACCUCUACAACGGAAUCCAGGAGGGAGUCCAGGCAAGCCCAAGGGCCCAGGCUCCUAGAGCAUAUAAAGACAUGAUAAUAUAGGAAUGCGGCUAGCAUUAACUUCAGACCCCAUCUCGUGCCCUAUAAAUACAGCUCUUCUGGGGAUGGUCAGCUGAAAGUCUCACCUCAGGGGAGGAUGCUCUGCCCAGGCUUCUCAGUCUCGACUUCAGCCUGGCUGUCUCCACUGGGCUUCUCCAGCUAAUAAGGUUGGAGGUUAAGUACUCAAUUUGAUGUAACUCUGUCUAUUCUCCUUUACUGCUGACUAUUGCUCUCAUCUAUGUGCAGAUUUCCCUUUUCUUCUUUCUGUUUUUAUUAGAUUUUUAUAAUAUCAAUAAGGUGUUAUAAUAUCGAUAAAGUGUUUUUCCCCCUUCAAAAGCAAGUGUACGGAUACUGUGAAUCUUUUGUUCAGAACAUAUAUCUCAAACAAAAAACAAAUUUAGAAGUGACUGAAUCAGAAUUUCUAAAUUUUGUUUUUAUGGAUCUAAAUUAUGUAUUACUCUGACAUUGCUUCAUUUAAUUUUCUUCAAGAUAUCUCCACUUUCAUGGCCCACAGUCAAAAAAAUAAUAAUAAUAAUGUGCAAACUUGACUUCAUUGCCUAUCCUUCAAAAUGAAUAAAUCUGUUCCUUUCUUGUAUCUCAUAUGAGGUGAAUACCCAUUGCCAUAGCUACAAAUCUAGAUGUUCUUUUUUUCUGACCUUCAUAUUCAACUCUUCUACCAAAUUCUAUUGAUUUUUUCUUAGUAGCUCCCUAGUCAAUUCCUUACAAAUCUAUCUUAAUUCAAGCCCAUAUCCUUAUUUGUAGAAAUCGCUAUAAUAUACUCUGAACUUGUUUUCUUUAUUUCCCCUGGUGUCCGAUCUAUUCAGACAAUGCUACAACAGUAGUCUACCUAAUAAUGAAAUCUGAGAGCAGCCCGGGUGGCUCAGCGGUUUAGCACCGCCUUCAGCCCAGAGUGUGAUCCUGGAGACCCCGAAUUGAGUCCCAUAUCGGGCACCUUGUAGGAGCUUGCUUCUCUCUCUCUGUCUCUCAUGAAUAAAUAAAUAAUGUCUUUUUAAAAAAUAAUGAAAUCUCCUUUCCUUCUGAUUAUGCCAUGAAGCUAGAUAAAACGUUUCAGGAUUCUCCAUAUUGCAUUGAAUUGGUAAUUCAUUUUUACUCACUUUGCCUCUCUAUUAGAAUGUGAACUAUUUGAAUGCAAACUAGAUCUUUGAACUCCUAGCCCAGGGUCCGAUACUAACAA
Molecule: long non-coding RNA, 1754 nt
Filed under: Canis lupus familiaris (dog)
Lineage: Eukaryota; Metazoa; Chordata; Mammalia; Carnivora; Canidae
Description: lncRNA (ENSCAFG00845006726.1)
Source: RNAcentral